UCGCUGUGGCCUCAGGAUGGUUGGGGCAAAGGCAGGGUCAGCGGGCCCGAGAGGGGCAGCCCGCACAGUGCUGCCCUGUGGCUGCUUCAGGGCCCCUCUCUCCACUGUCCCUUGACAGAGCCUGCACCCCAGCCUGCAGGAGACUGUCCUCCGCAGGGCCCUUCCUGCUCUCAGCUUCUACUGACCGAAUGGUGACUCAGAAGAAACUGGAAAGAGUGGUCACCUCCGGGAAAGAAAACAGGCAUGGAGAGAACUGGCCACUGUUCUCAAGAGUGUUCCUCGUCCUGGCCGGCCAGCUUGCGCUGCUGGCAAAACAGCCAGCCAAGCCAGGGCACAGUUUUGCGGGACUUCGGGAGAAGCACAGACCACCCCGGCCUCAUCAGCCUGAGGCACCCAUGCCCUGGGCUGGGUCUGCAGCUACAGGUCAGCGUCCACGUGCAGGACAUAGGACAAAAG
Heterocephalus glaber (naked mole-rat) is the source of this 456-nucleotide long non-coding RNA. The record is from Ensembl. Lineage: Eukaryota; Metazoa; Chordata; Mammalia; Rodentia; Bathyergidae.